This 226-nucleotide long non-coding RNA is filed under the name Sorghum bicolor (sorghum). Its description in RNAcentral is "long non-coding RNA (SBIC_LNC017868)". Lineage: Eukaryota; Viridiplantae; Streptophyta; Magnoliopsida; Poales; Poaceae. The record is from RNAcentral.
UUUUUCAGGUGGGUAGUAGAUACCCCUAAUUCUACUGUUGGACACUUGUCCAUUUUUUCCGCUCAAGUGGGCAUCUUUGUACCCCUAAUUCUACUCCGGACACUUGUCCAUUUUUACCUCUCGUCUCACUCUUUUUCUUUCUUUUCCGAGGUUCCGGGCACUUGCCCCUUUUUAUUUCCUCGCAUAUUUUUGCAUAACCCAUGCCUCUUCUGCAUUGAAUCUUUUU